Molecule: ribosomal RNA, 213 nt
Filed under: uncultured bacterium
Lineage: Bacteria
Description: partial 16S ribosomal RNA
Rfam family: Bacterial small subunit ribosomal RNA
Source: RNAcentral
UUAUCUCCCUUGAGGUGAGGAAUACCGGCGAGAAAUCGCCGACAAGACCGCAUACGAUUGGCAACAAUCAAAGUUUUGCUUCGCGAGAAGUGAGACGCCACAAGAUGAGCUCGCGCCCGAUUAGCUGGUUGGUGGGGUAAUGGCCUACCAAGGCGACCAUCGGUAGCUGGUCUGAGAGGAUGAUCAGCCACACUGGGAUUGAGAACGGCCCAG